This 429-nucleotide ribosomal RNA is filed under the name Pseudomonadota bacterium. Its description in RNAcentral is "Proteobacteria bacterium partial 16S ribosomal RNA". It matches the Rfam family "Bacterial small subunit ribosomal RNA", at positions 355 to 776 of the family's 1533-position model. The record is from RNAcentral. Lineage: Bacteria; Pseudomonadati; Pseudomonadota.
UGGGGAAUAUUGGACAAUGGGCGAAAGCCUGAUCCAGCCAUGCCGCGUGUGUGAAGAAGGUCUUCGGAUUGUAAAGCACUUUAAGUUGGGAGGAAGGGCAGUAAGCGAAUACCUUGCUGUUUUGACGUUACCGACAGAAUAAGCACCGGCCAACUCUGUGCCAGCAGCCGCGGUAAUACAGAGGGUGCAAGCGUUAAUCGGAAUUACUGGGCGUAAAGCGCGCGUAGGUGGUUCGUUAAGUUGAAUGUGAAAGCCCCGGGCUCAACCUGGGAACUGCAUCCAAAACUGGCGAGCUAGAGUAGGGCAGAGGGUGGUGGAAUUUCCUGUGUAGCGGUGAAAUGCGUAGAUAUAGGAAGGAACACCAGUGGCGAAGGCGACCACCUGGGCUCAUACUGACACUGAGGUGCGAAAGCGUGGGGAGCAAACAGG